Molecule: ribosomal RNA, 387 nt
Filed under: uncultured bacterium
Lineage: Bacteria
Description: bacterial SSU rRNA
Rfam family: Archaeal small subunit ribosomal RNA
Source: RNAcentral
GCGCGAAAACUUUACAAUGCAGGCAACAGCGAUAAGGGAACCUCGAGUGCCAGGUUACAAAUCUGGCUGUCGAGAUGCCUAAAAAGCAUUUCAUAGCAAGGGCCGGGCAAGACCGGUGCCAGCCGCCGCGGUAACACCGGCGGCUCGAGUGGUAACCGUUAUUAUUGGGUCUAAAGGGUCUGUAGCCGGCCGGAUAAGUCUCUUGAGAAAUCUGGCAGCUUAACUGUCAGGCUUUCAGGAGAUACUGUCUGGCUCGAGGCCGGGAGAGGUGAGAGGUACUUCAGGGGUAGGGGUGAAAUCUUGUAAUCCUUGAAGGACCACCAGUGGCGGAGGCGUCUCACCAGAACGGACCUGACGGCAAGGGACGAAAGCUAGGGGCACGAACCG